RNAcentral lists this microRNA precursor (57 nucleotides) under Gallus gallus (chicken). RNAcentral's name for it is "Gga-Mir-1677-P1_pre stem-loop". Lineage: Eukaryota; Metazoa; Chordata; Aves; Galliformes; Phasianidae. The record is from RNAcentral.
UCCUGCACCGCUGAAGUCAAUGGAAGUUUUGUCAUUGACUUCAGUAGGAGCAGGAUU